AAAAAAGCAAAAAAUAAAAUAAAAAAUAGGGUCUGUAUUUUAAUCAGGUCCGGGAGUCAGCCCGGACCUGAUCCUCAUUCUAUAUAUAUAUAUAUAUAUAUACUCAUUGCAAAUCUCCCAAUUUCUUUGCCUUGCCUUGAUUUUGGGGAUUCAAUUUAAUUAAAGCUAGCAUUAUAGGGACAAAGGCUAUUAGAGUGGAUGAGCAAACUUUGAAAAAAUGAAAUAUAACUUGAUUACUCCCAUGUGCUCCCUCCUCUACAUAGCCCGGCCACUCUCCCUCCUAUUUGCCCCAUUUUGAUUUUCUUUAAAUGCUAUAUUUACACAUUUUAUCUUCUAAAAAGGUCCACACAAUUUGGGUUAGGGUUUGAGCCAAACAAAUUAUUUACUUGGGCUCUCAUUUAAAUCAGUUGGGCCACAUCCACCAACAUAUGUCUAACACAUUAAAUACAUUACCCUUGUUAUUUAAUUAGGGUUACUAGUCCACUUACAUUGGAUUUUAAAUAAGUACUCACAUUGGUUUAAUAAUAUAUCCCAAUUAGACUUGCUAUAAUUAGGUUAAGAUAAUAAAUAGGUUGAGAUAAUAAAAUAAAUCUCUUAGGCUAGUCCACUAGUAUAUAAUUUAAAUACUUGUACUCUUAAAUAAUAUAACACUUAAGUUAUUAAUUGUCAUAUCUACAAUGUUUGUAAUAGGUUACAAGACUUUUCUUUUCCAUUACUCUUUAUAUGAUUAAUAAAUAUAUUCAUUCACUCACAUAAGUACACUACAUAAGUCACAAAGUUUUCUACUUCAUUGAUAAAUAAUUAAUAUUCUCAUUUACAAUGUAACCUAAUAUUUCUGGUUAUUACAAGAUACCCAGCACAACAACAUAUUUCGCAUGUGAGAGAGAGAAGGAAGGAGAGAAAAUAUACCUGAGGGAGGCUCGAUUGGGGGAGGUGCGACUGAGGAGGCAAAGUCGAAGAGGAACUAAGGAGAGGAGUCGUGAAGUCUUGAGGAAGAGGAGUCAGCGAGUCGCGUUGUUGAUGUUGUGAAGGCAGAGGAGUCGAUGUCGUGAAGGCUGAGGACUUAGAGGAGACUAAUAAGAGGACUCGAUGUCGAGUUUAGGGCUUUAAACUUCAUCACGAUGGCUGUUGGGGUAAGUAGAAGACCCAUGGGUCAUGGGUAAAAAAAAAGUUGGCCAAAGCUACCUAGGAGUGUGCGCCUUGAUAGCUCGGUGCCUCACAGCGUCGCCUAGGCGACGACAUGAGACACCGAGCUACCAAGGCACACGCCUUGGUAGCCCUACCUCAAGUCGAAGCACGACAUGACCUUCUCUUCAUCGCCAGGACGCCUAGGCGUCGCCUAGGGACGCCUUGGCGAUGCAAGGCGUUGUAGUAACAACUAUGUUCUAAAUGUAUCAUCUUUUCUUGACGAUAUGAGAAACGUAGUCCAAUAUGUUAAAUGGGGAUGGAACUUCAAUACACUAUUCAUAUCCUGAUCAUGUAACUAAGUAUAUAUGAUUAUUUACAUGUCUUAUUUGUUUGCAUAUAUGCCUUCCAUGCAGUUUAUUAGUAUUGGUGAAUUUCCUUAACAGCUUCAUCCAAACUCCAACAGAAAAAAGGAGCCACUGAACUGCCCUUCUUUUCUCUAUAUGCAUAUGCAUUUGAUUGUGCAGGUGUAUAUUUCACAACUUGUCUACGUGUGUUUUUCGUUGUGAUUUUGGUGAUGCUUUUAUUUCUUUGCUUUCAGUUUUCUAUUUGUUACUGCUUAUUUCAUUGGUUGAUGUCCAUGGCUUAAUGCAUCUGUCUACUUUAAUAUGUGAUCUAUCGUCAUUUGGAGCAAAAUUGUUUACAGACCUGCACCUUAGCUCACUUGUGAAUCUGUGUAAAUUAAUUAUGAAAAUACAUCUUGUCUAUAUACAAAAACUCAUGCUAGCAGUACAUGUUCUUUACCUGUUUCCUCAAAAUGAUCUCCUAUGAGAUUUAAAUUACUAAGGCCUCUAAAAGUUUUCUACACUAGCAGAACUGUAACAGAACGCAGAACACAAUUAUGAAAUUGCACAUAGAUUCUUCUGUCGGUCGCCGCCAAAUCCCAGCGGAUCCCCAAAUCCAGAUUUUUCUGGAUUCUUAUAGGGGAUUCUUUUGUAUUUUUUAUUGACAAAAGUUUAAAAAAUUAUAAAUACUAUAUAUAUACUAUAGUAAUUAAUACAAUAUUUUAAAUACUAGCAUUAUCUACGAAAUUAGUAAAAGAACUGAUUAGUAUGUAUUUCAUAAAUUCCUAGAUAGCAGUAGUAUAUACAAUGUUGUAUUUCAUGAGUUUUUUUUAAACAUUUUAUCAGGAAUUAAUAUUUAUUAAAAUUUUAAUGUAAUUUCAUGUACGUAUUAAAGUCUGUUUAAUACGUAAAUAUGUGCCACAAGUUCCCAUUUUUUGAGAUUUGCUUAACUGUCAAAUCCCCAUAUGGCAAAUUUGAAUCCUCAAACCCUACCCAAAUCCUUGCUUUUUAGGCAUAUAGAGCUUUUAAAUAUUUAACUAAUCAAUAAAACCAGUGAUUAUGAUGAAUAAAAGAACUCGUACAUCCAACGGGCAUGGUCUUCAAACUGAUGGUCUGAUACUGAUAUUUGUCGAAACAUAAACCUUACAUUAUCUAGGACCACUCCAUUAACCUUCUAAAUUAGUAUAAUAGAGUUCAAAUGAUGUUCUCUAUUUUAUAUCUGCAGGCAACAUCUGAGGCUGCUGCCGAGAAACAGAUCCAGCAACUCUUAUUCCCACGCUCACGCAGGAAAAAAGUCGGUUCUCAUGCUGAUGGACUUGGGGAUCUCCAUCCACUUUAAAUAUCCUGAUCCGGCUACUAUACCUUUCGUAACAGUUUUAAAAAUAAGUUUUGAUCUUAGAAUUCAAUCUAGAGGUCUCAUUUAUUUUUUUCAGUCAGUUCAUUUUUGAAUUGAACUUUUUUUUGUAAUGUAUUGCUACCUUUUUCAGAUUGAAUAUGUUGGUGUAACAGAAUAAAAAGGGUUCUCUUGUACAAUAUACUAAAUUAAUAUGAAUCCUGAUACCCUGAUUAAUAAAGCAGCUUCUUCAUAUUCUAUAGAAAUGAUUCCUUUCUUAGAAUCCCCAUAGGGUUCUACAAGCUUAAUCUCAUUUUACCAUCUUUUAUAUUUUAACCUGUAGGGCUCGAGUUUUGGCUUGCCGAGGUCGCUCAACUGAAAGUCAAACAAACUCGAGUCGAAGUCGAAUUUAAUCAAGUCGAGAUAAAUUAAAUUUAAAUAUUUAUUCAAUUAAUUAUUUUUAUGUUUUUAUAUAAGGUUAUAUGUAUAUACACAGUUGUGUAUUACACAGUCGGGCUAUG
This 3323-nucleotide long non-coding RNA is filed under the name Panax ginseng (ginseng). RNAcentral's name for it is "long non-coding RNA (PGIN_LNC017475)". The record is from RNAcentral. Lineage: Eukaryota; Viridiplantae; Streptophyta; Magnoliopsida; Apiales; Araliaceae.